UGUGUGUGUGUGUGUGUGUGUGUGUGUGUGAGAGAGAGAGAGAGAGAGAGAGAGCAUUUGUGUUCCUGAUAUAUUCUCCCAUGUUCAAUUCAGCCCAUUGGUUCGACAAGGUCCACAGCUGGAUAUUUUUUAGAAAGCAAGUUAAAGGCAACACAAUUGCCUAUUAUCAUGGGGACCAUGCUAAAUUGCACAUACAUUCUUGGCUAAAUAGUGAUGAUUAUUAUGCACUUUCAUGAUAGGAAAUAGUCUCCUGUGACUUUGGAGGCUCUGCCAUUUCCUGAUCACCUGUUUAUUGUCAGAUGAAUACAGAGUGUGUGUGAGUGUACAAGGUGGAGAAAGAGAGAUAGAGAGAGAGAAUGACAGAAUGAGAAAGAGAAAAAGGCUAUAGAAUGAUCAAAAGUUUGAGAAUGGCCAACCAAACCAGGAUACAUCCUUCUGAUUUUGUUUUCCUAAGAGUGAACUACAUUCCCACUGACAGAGAAAAUGACUCUGUCGCCAUAUCAGUUGUUGCUCAGCGGAGCAUUUUUUUGUCUCGGUGUUUUGACUACGGAAGCACAGGUGUGGCUUUCAAUCAUGUGUCCUUGUUUAAAAAGCUGGUGGUGACGUUGUCAGUAGCAUUAUUCAUUGCUUUUGAUAGUACUCUGGUAGUCGAUCUACUCACAUGUUGUACAUGUAUAUGUUGCCCUGCUCUAUCCUUUGCUGAUACAGCAACACAAAUGAAGUGUGGUGUGUGGUGAGUGGUGUGUGGUGUGUUUCUCGGGUGUGUGGAAUGGAAGGCUGGUUUUGUCAUUUCUCAGCAUCACUUGCUGAUUCACAGGGCCAUCACUGAACUGUUCAUGGCAAACUGCCACUCUUCACACGCUCAGGCUGACUGGCCUACUGACUGUUGCAUCGAUUAUUAUUAUUAAUAUUAUUAUGAAUGAUCAUAGUAAUAAUAUAAAUAUCAAUAAUAUUAAUGUUAUUAUUACAUUUACAGGUCCUGAAAGGUAUCUGAGUAAUGAUUUUUUUAAAAUCAUGAAAAAUAUAUCGCUUCAAUAAAUUUUUAACUAACAUGAGAAUCAGUGCAAUCCCUCCCUGAGAUACAAAAAAAAAACGUCUUGAUAAAACUAUCUUUUUCCCGGAAUUCUUUUUGUACUGGGGAAUAUGGGCAGCAUGAAUUUACCCAAAGCAGUGUUGGGGAGCUCCUAGUGGCCAUGAGGUGAAAUUACACUUUCCUUUGUUCCCGAGUUGCGGGAUCUGUUCAGACACAUUGAUAUUGCAGUCUACAUUUUGAAUGUGCAGUCGCCAAGCCCUGGCCUCAAUAGAGUUCAAGAAGAUGGGGAAUUGCCAUUGUGGGUUUGAAGGGAGGAUAUAUAUUUACGUGUGAUUCAUUUAUGUGUGAAUGCCCCAAAUUCUGAAUGUUGUAUCUGUUCUUAAUCUCUUUAUACCCCCAAUAAUUAUAGAAAAGAGUGGUGAAUAUAUCUUCAUGAGAGACUUUGUGACCCUCUGUUUUCUAAUUGUGGGGUGUCUACGUGUAAAAAGCACUCAAGUCUGUUCAGUGGAAUUAAUGGUCCUUUCUUUGGUGGUGCUUGCAUUUUUUUCUAGUUAGAGACACUUUAAUUUUAAUAAAUUUGAUUUGAAAACACAA
Long non-coding RNA from Alosa sapidissima (American shad), 1627 nucleotides. RefSeq lists it as uncharacterized. Lineage: Eukaryota; Metazoa; Chordata; Actinopteri; Clupeiformes; Clupeidae. The transcript is spliced from 2 exons. The record is from RefSeq and is a predicted model, not a curated record.